AUGGAAAACAGGCCUUCAGCCACUGGGAGAACCUAUGGCAUUAAUGGCAGGCCGUGUCACGUGCACUAUGUUUACUACGCCGCUAGGGUAAUAUUUUAUGUUAAUAACGGUGCCGGAGAUGCGGCAACUUGUGCUUACCAUUUGAUUAUACUAUCACUAAUAUGGACUCUGCAACGCUUCUACAGCGAACCAGCAUCAACAGCACCGCCAAAAGAGAAUUGAAUAUUCGAAAACAAUUGCGUUUGCUAACCACCUGCACGGCGAUUCGGAGCCCAAAAUAUGAAAAGAAAAACGGGCACAGUCGAUGAGAUGUUUUUGUUGGGUGUUCCUUCAGGAAAACGUCCUAUUGACUUCCGGCUGCCAGGUGGGAUGCAAUGCCAGAAAACAAGCUUUUCAUUGUGACCGCGUAAUUAUUUAGUCAUACUAAAAACGAGUGCCAUAUUGCGGAAGAGGUAUGUAGCUACUGUAUGCUUGGCUAUGCUCUACAUUUCUGCUGGCAAGGACAACCUGCGCGAGUUACGCGCACUCAGCCCCACUAACGCGAAGAGCGAUAAGUCACCGUACAAGCGGUAAGUCACCGUAAGUGCAUUGAAUUACUGUGUUUAUCCUAUGGGAUUUGUUACACUUCAGCUUCCUGUCAUGAAUUUUUCAAACUCACUGUAACAUUUAAUAGAAUAGGUGAAAUAAACAGGAUUGAGUUCCAUUUGCUGGAGUAAGACCUUGGCUGAAGCCUGACUGUACACUUUGUGUCUUGCAUUAGACUGCGAAAUAUAUGCUCGUAUCUCGUAGCCCAAUGCAGGAUACAAACUGUCAGUAAUUAAGACGACUGUCACUAAAUUUGAGAAACUACUGUGUUUCACACUAUCGAAAAUAAGCUUUGAUCUUUUUUUUCAAAAAUGGUCGGGUGAUUCUGAUUAAUUAACUGAAUCGACUGAGAUAGAUAGAAUACACUUCAAUGCGGUUCACUUUCUUCUGUGCCCUUUUCACCAAGCAGCCGAUUAGGAUACGAGUACAGUAACGGGCGAGCUUCAUUUUGGUGACCCUGGUCCUUGCUUCACACUAUCGAUGGCACCCUCUUCCAAACGUCGUGAUUAAAGCAUUUAUGUUUUCACUUGAACGAUUGUCAGGUAAGGACUGUAUCCAUUAUCUUCUCCUGUAUACGGCUAUAUGCGCGUGCUUUGUGCGCAAGUUUAUCAUCAAUCAUGUCCUCAACUGAGUCAAAUGCAAUCAACGUUGUUGAGAUGACAAUAAAUGAUAUGUUCUUGCAGGAGUCUUAGUUGCUACAAUGUUAGUUUAUUCUGUUAGAUUAUUAGCAUAUACAAACAUCGCAAAUAGCACAGGUUGCGCAGGCAUCACCACCGCAAAAACUCCUGCCCUUAUUGGGAAAAAAAGUAACGGUCAAAUAUAAUCCAUAUUCCAUAUUCAUAAAAUUUUGCAUGUCGCUUUCACCGUUUAUAGCACAUUAGGGAUUUGGCUUCGCUUUUCACGACUUCAGCGGUUGAGCUGUAUUUCCCACUAGAACAGGCGGGCCACCCAUUCCCGCUGGUUGCCCCGUCACAAAGUGGAUCGGCUGGCCAGGAGCACCUUGAGGAUAACCGUACCCAGGCUGCACAUAUACGACUUGCAUGGCAGUUGCCUUCUUGGGCAUUUUACAUAUAUUGAUCCCGGCGGCAAUUGACUGACCCAAACAGAAAAUCCACAUAAGACCCUGGAACGCCAGAUGGGGGCCCAUAAUAGCCGGAAUGUGGAGCAGGUAGAAAUUGCACAUGUACGUAUUAGGGCUGUUGUAUCCAUACCCGCAAUAGCGAUAACGGGUAAAGUCAAGGUGGCUGGCGAGGAGAACGGCAAGGGCAGUUAUCAGACCGGUGGCCAAGAGUGUGGAUAGAAUGCUCAGCACCAUGGAGGUGAUAAGAAAACAUAGACGCGAGCGUGGUGAAGCUCCCAUCGUUAGACGUCGUCCGCCUGCAAUACCAAAUGAUCCUGUUAUGAUGAAAAAUGCUCCGGUAUAGAACCCGGAACCAGCAGCACUGAAGGAUAAGGCGUCAUUGAUCCAGUUGAUGCUAAAAUCUGUAAUGGAUUUUUCGAAUACCAAAAAUCAGGACCGAUCUGGGACUGUGCAGACCGACUGAUGUCGGCUGAGGAGGAAAAACACCGGUAUGAGUGGCCAUUUUUUCUAUUCUGCGUCAGAUUAUUCUUUAUGUGAGGUACACAAUAAAAUUCAGAACGUGGACGUUCUACUGAGUAAUUAGUUCUAGCUACGUU
Molecule: long non-coding RNA, 2262 nt
Organism: Paramacrobiotus metropolitanus
Lineage: Eukaryota; Metazoa; Tardigrada; Eutardigrada; Parachela; Macrobiotidae
Exons: 3
Source: RefSeq, a predicted model, not a curated record